GCACGGGUGCGUAACGCGUGGGAAUCUGCCCUUUGCUUCGGAAUAACAGUUAGAAAUGACUGCUAAUACCGGAUGAUGUCGCAAGACCAAAGAUUUAUCGGCAAGGGAUGAGCCCGCGUAGGAUUAGGUAGUUGGUGGGGUAAGGCUCACCAAGCCGACGAUCCUUAGCUGGUCUAAGAGGAUGAUCAGCACACUGGGACUGAGACACAGGCCCAGACUCCUACGGGAGGCAGCAGUGGGGAAUAUUGGACAAUGGGCGAAAGCCUGAUCCAGCAAUGCCGCGUGAGUGAUGAAGGCCUUAGGGUUGUAAAGCUCUUUUACCAGGGAUGAUAAUGACAGUACCUGGAGAAUAAGCUCCGGCUAACUCCGUGCCAGCAGCCGCGGUAAUACGGAGGGAGCUAGCGUUGUUCGGAAUUACUGGGCGUAAAGCGCACGUAGGCGGCGACUCAAGUCAGAGGUGAAAGCCCGGGGCUCAACCCCGGAACUGCCUUUGAAACUAGGUUGCUAGAAUUCUGGAGAGGUCAGUGGAAAUUCCGAGUGUAAAGGUGAAAUUCGGUAAUUUCCGGAAGAACACC
Molecule: ribosomal RNA, 575 nt
Filed under: uncultured bacterium
Lineage: Bacteria
Description: bacterial SSU rRNA
Rfam family: Bacterial small subunit ribosomal RNA
Source: RNAcentral